This 107-nucleotide small nuclear RNA is filed under the name Chlorocebus sabaeus (green monkey). Lineage: Eukaryota; Metazoa; Chordata; Mammalia; Primates; Cercopithecidae. The record is from RNAcentral.
GUGCUUCCUUUGGCAGCACAUAUACUAAAAUUCAAAUGAUACAGAGAAAAUUAAUGUGGCCCCAUUGCAAGGAUGGCAUACAAAUUCAUGAAGGGUUCCAGUUAAAA